Molecule: ribosomal RNA, 379 nt
Filed under: uncultured eukaryote
Lineage: Eukaryota
Description: partial 18S ribosomal RNA
Rfam family: Eukaryotic small subunit ribosomal RNA
Source: RNAcentral
CAAUAGCGUAUAUUAAUGUUGUUGCAGUUAAAAAGCUCGUAGUUGGAUUUCUGGUGGGAGCGGCCGGUCCGCCGUAAGGUGUGUACUUGGUUGUCUCCUGUCAUCCUUGUGGGAACUGCUCUGGCAUUAAGUUGUCGGGGUUAGGGAACACAUCGUUUACUGUGAAAAAAUUAGAGUGUUUAAAGCGGGCUUAUGCCGUUGAAUACAUUAGCAUGGAAUAAUAAGAUAGGACUUUGGCGUCUAUUUUGUUGGUUUGCACACCAAGGUAAUGAUUAAUAGGGAUAGUUGGGGGUAUUCGUAUUUAAUUGUCAGAGGUGAAAUUCUUGGAUUUAUGAAAGACGAACUUCUGCGAAAGCAUUUACCAAAGAUGUUUUCAUUA